Molecule: ribosomal RNA, 251 nt
Filed under: uncultured Streptococcus sp.
Lineage: Bacteria; Bacillati; Bacillota; Bacilli; Lactobacillales; Streptococcaceae
Description: partial 16S ribosomal RNA
Rfam family: Bacterial small subunit ribosomal RNA
Source: RNAcentral
GAGUUGCGAACGGGUGAGUAACGCGUAGGUAACCUGCCUGGUAGCGGGGGAUAACUAUUGGAAACGAUAGCUAAUACCGCAUAAAAUGGAUUAUCGCAUGAUAAUUGAUUGAAAGGUGCAAUUGCAUCACUACCAGAUGGACCUGCGUUGUAUUAGCUAGUUGGUGAGGUAACGGCUCACCAAGGCGACGAUACAUAGCCGACCUGAGAGGGUGAUCGGCCACACUGGGACUGAGACACGGCCCAGACUCC